UACAGAGGGUGCGAGCGUUAAUCGGAAUUACUGGGCGUAAAGGGCGCGUAGGCGGCUAUAUAAGUUAUGUGUGAAAUCUCUGGGCUUAACCUGGGAACUGCCCAUAAUACUGUAUAGCUAGAGUAGAGUAGAGGAAAGUGGAAUUUCCGGUGUAGCGGUGAAAUGCGUAGAUAUCGGAAGGAACACCAGUGGCGAAGGCGGCUUUCUGGACUCAUACUGACGCUGAGGCGCGAAAGCGUGGGGAGCAAACAGG
RNAcentral lists this ribosomal RNA (253 nucleotides) under uncultured bacterium. RNAcentral describes it as "partial 16S ribosomal RNA". It matches the Rfam family "Bacterial small subunit ribosomal RNA", at positions 524 to 776 of the family's 1533-position model. The record is from RNAcentral.